This 253-nucleotide ribosomal RNA is filed under the name uncultured bacterium. Its description in RNAcentral is "partial 16S ribosomal RNA". It matches the Rfam family "Bacterial small subunit ribosomal RNA", at positions 524 to 776 of the family's 1533-position model. The record is from RNAcentral.
UACAGAGGGUGCGAGCGUUGUCCGGAAUCACUGGGCGUAAAGGGCGCGUAGGCGGUCUCUUAAGCGUGUGGUGAAAGCCCGGGGCUCAACUCCGGGUCGGCCGUGCGAACUGGGGGACUGGAGCUUGUCAGAGGCAUGCGGAAUUCCGGGUGUAGCGGUGGAAUGCGUAGAGAUCCGGAAGAACACCGGUGGCGAAGGCGGCCUGCUGGGACAGUGCUGACGCUGAGGCGCGACAGCGUGGGGAGCAAACAGG